CCUACGGGUGGCAGCAGUCGAGAAUCAUUCACAAUGGGGGAAACCCUGAUGGUGCGACGCCGCGUGGGGGAAUGAAGGUCUUCGGAUUGUAAGCCCCUGUCAUGUGGGAGCAAAUUAAAAAGAUAGUACCACAAGAGGAAGAGACGGCUAAAUCUGUGCCAGCAGCCGCGGUAAUACAGAGGUCUCAAGCGUUGUUCGUAAUCACUGGGCGUAAAGCGUGCGUAGGCGGUUUCGUAAGUCGUGUGUGAAAGGCGCGGGCUCAACCCGCGGACGGCACAUGAUACUGCGAGACUAGAGUAAGGGAGGGGGAACAGGAAGUCUCGGUGUAGCAGUGAAAUGCGUAGAUAUCGAGAGGAACACUAGUGGCGAAGGCGGGUUCCUGGACAUUAACUGACGCUGAGGCACGAAGGCCAGGGGAGCGAAAGGGAUUAGAUACCCCUGUAGUC
Molecule: ribosomal RNA, 446 nt
Filed under: uncultured bacterium
Lineage: Bacteria
Description: partial 16S ribosomal RNA
Rfam family: Bacterial small subunit ribosomal RNA
Source: RNAcentral